Macaca mulatta (Rhesus monkey) is the source of this 119-nucleotide ribosomal RNA. The record is from Ensembl. NCBI's taxonomy places the organism in Eukaryota, Metazoa, Chordata, Mammalia, Primates, Cercopithecidae.
AUCUAUGGCCAUAACACCCUAAACGCGCCCUAUCUAGUCUGAUCUUGGAAGCUAAGCAGGGUCGGGCCUGGUUAGUACUUGGAUGGGAGACCACCUGGGAAUACCGGGUGCUGUAGGAU